AACGAACGCUGGCGGCAUGCCUAACACAUGCAAGUCGAACGAGACCUUCGGGUCUAGUGGCGCACGGGUGCGUAACGCGUGGGAACCUGCCCUUAGGUUCGGAAUAACUCCCCGAAAGGGGUGCUAAUACCGGAUAAUUUCUUCGGACCAAAGAUUUAUCGCCUUUGGAUGGGCCCGCGUUGGAUUAGCUAGUUGGUAGGGUAAAAGCCUACCAAGGCGACGAUCCAUAGCUGGUCUGAGAGGAUGAUCAGCCACACUGGGACUGAGACACGGCCCAGACUCCUACGGGAGGCAGCAGUGGGGAAUAUUGGACAAUGGGCGAAAGCCUGAUCCAGCAAUGCCGCGUGAGUGAUGAAGGCCUUAGGGUUGUAAAGCUCUUUUACCCGGGAUGAUAAUGACAUUACCGGGAGAAUAAGCUCCGGCUAACUCCGUG
This 433-nucleotide ribosomal RNA is filed under the name uncultured bacterium. Its description in RNAcentral is "partial 16S ribosomal RNA". It matches the Rfam family "Bacterial small subunit ribosomal RNA", at positions 29 to 507 of the family's 1533-position model. The record is from RNAcentral.